GAUGAACGCUGGCGGCGUGCCUAAUACAUGCAAGUCGAGCGAACAGACGAGGAGCUUGCUCCUUUGACGUUAGCGGCGGACGGGUGAGUAACACGUGGAUACCCUACCUAUAUGACUGGGAUAACUUCGGGACACCGGAUCUAAUCCCGGAUAAUAUCUUGAACCGCAUGGUUCAAUAGUGAAUGUCGGCUUUGGUGGCACUUAUAGCUGGUUCCGGGCCGCUUUAGCUAGUUGGUAAGGUAAUGGCUUACCAAGGCGACGAUGCGUAGCCGACCGGAGAGGGUGAUAGGCCACACUGGAGCUGGGCCACGGACCAUACUCCUACGGGAGGCAGCAGUAGGGAAUGGGCCGCAAUGGGCGAAAGCCUGACGGAGCAAGGCGGCGUGAGUGGUGAAGGUCUUCGGAUCGGAAAGCUCUGUUAUGAGGGAAGAACAGAUGUGGAAUUAACUAUGCACGUAGUGACGGUACCUAGUCAGAAAGCCACGGCUAACUACGUG
Molecule: ribosomal RNA, 497 nt
Filed under: uncultured bacterium
Lineage: Bacteria
Description: partial 16S ribosomal RNA
Rfam family: Bacterial small subunit ribosomal RNA
Source: RNAcentral